RNAcentral lists this ribosomal RNA (326 nucleotides) under uncultured bacterium. Its description in RNAcentral is "bacterial SSU rRNA". It matches the Rfam family "Bacterial small subunit ribosomal RNA", at positions 28 to 334 of the family's 1533-position model. The record is from RNAcentral.
GAUGAACGCUGGCGGCGUGGCUUAACACAUGCAAGUCGAACGGAGCUUGUCUGGAUAGAGGAUUCGUCCAAUUGAUUUCAAGCUUAGUGGCGGACGGGUGAGUAACGCGUGAGGAACCUGCCUUGGAGUGGGGAAUAACACAGUGAAAAUUGUGCUAAUACCGCAUAAUGCAGUUGAGUCGCAUGGCUCUGACUGCCAAAGAUUUAUCGCUCUAAGAUGGCCUCGCGUCUGAUUAGGUAGUUGGUAGGGUAACGGCCUACCAAGCCGACGAUCAGUAGCCGGACUGAGAGGUUGGCCGGCCACAUUGGGACUGAGACACGGCCCAG